Molecule: ribosomal RNA, 261 nt
Filed under: uncultured bacterium
Lineage: Bacteria
Description: partial 16S ribosomal RNA
Rfam family: Bacterial small subunit ribosomal RNA
Source: RNAcentral
CGAAGAAGCGAACCUGCGAAGGCAAGCGGAUCUCUUAAAGCCGUUCUCAGUUCGGACUGUAGGCUGCAACUCGCCUACACGAAGCUGGAAUCGCCAGUAAUCGCGGAUCAGCACGCCGCGGUGAAUACGUUCCCGGGCCUUGUACACACCGCCCGUCACACCAUGAGAGUCUGUAACACCCAAAGCCGGUGGGAUAACCUUUAUAGGAGUCAGCCGUCUAAGGUAGGACAGAUGAUUAGGGUGAAGUCGUAACAAGGUACC